GACGAACCGUGCGAACGUUGUUCGGAUUUACUGGGCGUAAAGAGCGCGCAGGCGGUCGUUCAAGUCGAGUGUGAAAGCCCCCGGCUCAACUGGGGAGGGUCAUUCGAUACUGAUCGACUCGAAGGCAGGAGAGGGAAGCGGAAUUCCCGGUGUAGCGGUGAAAUGCGCAGAUAUCAGGAGGAACACCUAUAGCGAAGGCAGCUUGCUGGGACGUUACUGACGCUAAGGCGCGAAAGCGUGGGGAGCGAACAGG
This 253-nucleotide ribosomal RNA is filed under the name uncultured bacterium. Its description in RNAcentral is "partial 16S ribosomal RNA". It matches the Rfam family "Bacterial small subunit ribosomal RNA", at positions 524 to 776 of the family's 1533-position model. The record is from RNAcentral.